AGUUGGUUGCGCUUUUAUUCUAGUCGUGUGAACCCCCUAAGUGUAUAUGCUAGAGAAGUAUUGAUUGCCACCCUGAUUCAGGGUAGAGGUAUUUAUAUAGAACUUCAGAAUUUAGUGUCUUAUCUUGGUUUCCGUGCUCAUGAGCACCAUGCCUUUCUUAUCUUAAAGCAAGGCUGCAAUGUCAAGGGUCAAUUUGUUUGUUGUGCUGUGUUGCAAUGUGAAAUUUAUUCAGUUAGAAAUUCUCGCCAUUCGUUCCUUCUAGAAAUCCCAGUAUUAACUGAUGAAUAAUCUGCAUCAGAGGUAUUGGAUUACACUACAAAUACAUGCCCAGAAAAAUUAUAUGAACAUAUUCUCAAUUACCGCAGAACAGAGUACAUAUGACGUAGCAAAUGUCUCCCAAUUCUGGUAUUGGAUCCCUAUACAUGUUGCCAUGUACUCCCUCCGUUUUAUUCGUUUUAGCUUUUUUAAAUUCAUAAUUUUUAUUAUGGACGGAGGGAGUACAACCGUGGACAUUCAAAUCACACACACAACCAUCAGCAUUUAUUGAUUUGUUUAUAAAUACAAGUGCAUCAACAAACAACAUUGAUCACUCCAUUCCACACAAUACUGAAAGCCCACACGCCAUAGAAAUACAGCACACACCACAAGCACACCAGCCAAGAGCGCAGCAACUGGCAGAAGCAAACCCAAGGGAACUCAGGUGCUGAACGAUCGCUGGCUCUUGCUUUUAUUUUCUCCACAGCUCCAGACAGGGCACAUAGGGGUCUGUCUGCAUCACGCCAUCUUAUCCAUCAAGAUGUUAUGAUAACACGCUUUCAAUCUGUGUUAUAGUGGUUGGGUUGGCUCAACUGAGGAACCAAACCAAAACAAAGUAAAUCGAAGCAGAAGCAGACAACCUGGACGCAAGCGAAGCAUGCAUCCGUGUCGUCAUUCUCACACACAAAUCAAUCGAACUGCCGCUGAAGCAGAAUCAGCAGGAGAUCCAGCAGUGAAGGGCCUCACCUCACCUGCAGGAGGUUGGAGAGGAGAGCAUUACAGGGACGGGAGAGAAACAAUGAUCCACCAGUUCAGUUGAACAAAUCAACAAUGCACAUUAGAGUAGGGACGCAUAACAAUUUAUCAUCUAUACUUACUAGUGAUCUAUCAUAAAUACUACUAGUAGUAUACCAUGAUGGGCAUUUUGUAAAAUCUGUACACUUCGUAAAUAGCAUGGUGGGCAAGAGGGAUCACCUGAGAACAGAGCUCCUGAGCAGGGUCUUCUUGUAGUACCGCGAGUGGAUCGGCUUGUAGCGGGUCACCUGCGAGCCAUCAUCCCACUCAAGCCUGUCCCACCAUUCCUUCUCGCAGUCGCACUCCACUGCCUUGUCACCGCCGCCGACGUCCGGAAGGCGUUUGAGACUCCAGCAGCCCCUGAUCUUGAUGGUCUCCAGAUUGGGCGCGGACAUCCUCACACCACCACAGAUGCUAUGUAGUCUAGGGAGCUCAUGCAGGUGGAUACGCUUGAGACCGGGGAAGUCUAGGGUAACUGGCUGAGGCUGCUGCUUCACGUAGCGCUUGGCGUAGGGCUCCAAAGGAAAUACCUCCCGGAGAUCCCCGCACCACGUGAUCUCGAGGGUUUCUAGCUGACUCAAGCUCUCCGGCAAGUCACGGUCGAUCAUGUAUAGUGACAAAGGGAGUACAUGCACCAGCCUGGGGCAGCAAUCCAGGUGCAAAAAUACCAGGUACUCGAAUGUACGGCAGACUCCACAUGGUUCACUAUACUUCCAGAUACAGCUUGCCUUCCGGAGCUGUGAGGCCCAGAAUGUCUUCAUGCUGUAGGACCUCCCUUCGAGGCCCCGAAUUUGUUCUCCGAGAGUGAACACAUCCUCCAAUCUGGGGCACCUCUCGAUUCUGCACCACUCCAGUUGGACCCAUUCUGAACCCUGGGACUCGGUGCCCGAAGGAAAAACAGUGAUGGACAUGCUACCCCGCACAUGCAGGAUUUUAGCACAAUAAAUUACAAACUCUGGCACAGUAAUGGUAUUGGUUUCUUGUAUGUGCAUAUAGCAGCUUGUUUCGUGAAGAUCAGGAACAUCCGGGCAAGACCACAUCCACAUGAUCCCCGUAGCAUCACCAUCACAUUUAGCGGUGGUACCUGGUGCUGCGUAUAUUGCAGGUGCAGGCUGUCGCUGUAGCUCACUUCUGCUGCCGCUCUUGAUUCCUUCAUCUCUGCAACCAGCAGCAAAAACAGUAGGACUUGGUGUAGGGGAAACCUCCAAAUAUAGCUUGCGGGACUCGGUGUAGGGGAGACCUCCAAACACUGCUUCAAGGGACAUGAGGAGCCUUGCAUCCCUUACAGAAAUGUACCAAGGAAAUUCAUUGGUCGGUCGACUGCGAUGCAGUACUGUUGUUGCUGCCGAUGUUCCUAUAGUAGCAGCAGUAGUACCCCUCUUGGCUAUUUCUUCCCUAGAUUGGGCAGUGGGUGCUGACCGCGUGGUGUCAAUGCACAACUUAUCCAAGUCUCGCUUCAUUAUGUCUUCCGGUGGCCACAGUAUUGCACAAAGCUUCUUGCAGUCAAGUAGAUAGAGCUCAUGAAGACCAAGGUUUGUUAUUCCAGUGAGAUCCAGUGUUUUCACUGCUGUGCCUGAGAUGUCUAGGGCACAGACAUGAUACAACCUCCCACUAAAGAUUAGAUUCUUCAGUUUAGUACAUCCCUUGAAGGAGAUUCGUUUAAAUCCCCCAAACUCAACAAUAUUGACGGUCUCAAGGCAGCUACUAUUGUUGAUUGUGAUGCAAAAACUGUCAAUGUUGUUUCCUGAAAAUUCAAGAACCUCCAUCUUGUUCAUCUCCGAGAACAGGUUCUCUUCUGAGCAACUACAGGUGACACUAGACAUUGCUACUCGGAGCUUGCGGAUGUUAGGCAAUCGUCCCUGGAGCUGUCCCAUGUCCCAUUUCCAGGUUCGCAUCACAUUUAGCUCCCUGAGUUGAGUCAUGUAAUCCAUCAUCUGUCCAGACAAGAUAUGAACACAGUGCAUAUCGCGCACGUCGAGCACCCACAACCUCUGGAAGCACCGACGGACGUCCUCUUCCUUCCCUUCUCCAUCUGUGUUGUUAAUCCCAGUGUGUUGGCAACGGUCAAGCCAUAGGAACUUCAGGCUCUGGCAGCAUUGGAAUGGAGGUGAUUGGAAGUUGAAUGUGCAGCGUGAGAGCUUGAGAACAUGAAGCUUGUUGGAGCAGUGCUGGAACAUGUCUCCAUUAUGAAUAGCUCCGGCCGGGAUCCUAGUAAACCCACAGGUUGGUGAAGUCCAGUAUGGCUUACUGUUGAUGAACAUUGCUAAAUGAGGGGAGGUCAAAUAUUGAUGGUGGUCCAUAUCCAACAGCAUCUGCUGCUGCAGAGCAUCUACAGCUCUCCACAACCCAUCAUCUUUAUCACCACCGUUGACAUCUCUCUCUUCAUGCUGUAACUGAUGUAUGAUGCGAUUGCGAUCACAUACCCAGUAGUUGGCGCCAUGGGUGGCCAAAUCAUAGUCGAUCGAUUGGCUUCCUUUGCAACACAGAUCCAACAUGUACAGGAAGCACUCAGCAACUUGUGUAGGCUUAUUGAUAAUGUCGCGAGACCCAGCAGUGACCUUGCAUGCUUCAGCUACUUCCGCAGCCUCUUCAAGUACAAGGUAGGACCAGAGCUGCUCUUCCUUCCCAUAGCGGCGUGGGCCCGCCGAGAGAAAAGCAUCAGUUGUUCCUGCGCUCUUCAUGGCCUUGUCAACUUUGGUCCGAGGUUUGAUCCGGUACCUCCCUUGGAAUGUCCAGAGCACCUUGCUGGUUGAGUACCCGGACAGAGACAAGCCGCAACAAGUGGCCAGGUCGAUCUCCUCACUGCUCCCAUUGUGGAAAAUCACCAAUAAUCUGCGGUUUGCCUUCUGCGUGUGCUGAUAUAUCUCCCAGGCCACUUGUUGUAGCUCAGCGCGGGAUCCCUCGGCCACGCCUCGGAAAUCAUCCUCCUCAUCUUGCCGGUCAAACAUCUUCAUCACUUCAUCGGGGAGCUGCAGCUGCUCCGCGACUGCCUUCUGAAGGGCUCUCCUGCUCUCCCACAUUGAGCAGUCGAUGUGGAUGACCUGAUCAAACUCCAGGUCGGCCAGGGCUCUCUUCCCAUCUGGUGUAGUAGCACUGAGGCGUUGGGCGAUGUUUCGGAGGACGGCGGAUGCCCCAAGCCCGUCCCAGCCAUCGAAGUAGAAGACAUUGUCUCUGCUGCUUAGACUUCUAGUAGUAUUAGCCUUUUCCUUGAGCACUUCGAGAACUUCUGUAGCAGCCUCGUCUAUCGUGUCAGCCUCAAUAACCUGCAUACAUGCACAUAUGCACCAGUCAUCGGGGAUUUACCUAUUCAAUAACUUGAGAAUUGAGAUCAAGUGGAAACAAUAAAAGAGAGCAUAUAUACUAAUUAGCCGAUUUACCUUUGCACUCAUGAUGUAUUGGACUAACCGGCCGCACCGCUCAGCAGUCAACACGGUAUUGUGGAUCUAUGCAUGCAGUAAAGCUACUAGAUCAUCAGCAAUAGUACCGCAACCUCCAUUUCAUUUUGGAAGACCAUCAUCCAGCUACCUCAUGGAUUGCAGUUUGUGAGCCAUAUAUGACAUAUCCAGUUUGCAAAUUAAUUGAUUUCCAUGAUAAGCAUCCUACUUGCAUUACAAAUGAACUUGUAUUUGCAAUGGAAAGAAUCGAGUGGUUAAGUUACAUACCUUAGUUUAGUAGGAUUGGCAUGCACCACAAGGAGAUAGACAGAGAAACCAAACAACAGAUGGAGCCAACAAUUCUGUGUGCGUGAGCGCGCAGGAGAGUCCAGUUGAACUUUUCUUUUGUGUCUGUAUGGUCAUCAGAUGAUCCUUUUGCUUAAUUGCCAGGAAAAGAAAGAGAGAUGAUUCUUUGCUUAUGUAGGAUAUUCAAAAGAUAAAGAUUAAAGGCGUGUGCUAGUAUCAAGAAGUGAAAGCAAGCUAGGGCAAUCUGUUAUUUAAUUAUUUACCUGAUCUGAUCCUUCUGUAGAGGCUAAUUGAGUACUACUAGAUUUGUUAUCGUUGCCUUGUGAGCGACUCAAAGUGAUCAAAGUUAGGGAAUCCAUGUAGCUAGAUAUACAAUCUGAGCUUCCCGGUGUACGUAGAUGUUGCGUUCAACACUGGCUUAGUAUAAAUUAGUAGUUAGUACAACUUUGGGAAAUCCGGGUAACCUUUGAACAUAAAAAAAAUGGAGAAAGAAACAACGUCCCUGUGCUGAUGCUUUGCCUGGUAUGAUCUCGUGUCCCAUUAAAAAUGGCUUCGUAAAGAACAUCCCUGUCUUGGGGCUAGCUGCCAAUGUCAUGUAGAUGCACAUUCUCAUCAUUGUGCUGGUGCUUUACCUAGCUAGAAGAAAAUACCAAAGAUAGCGCCUAUUUACUGCUCUGUUACUUACACCCAAGCACCUCAUAGUGACCCAAAAGGAUACUACUUCCUCCGUUUCAAAUUAAUGAUCACAUUAGUUAUUUAAACUCUGACCAAGUUUAUAGAAAAAUAUAUCAAUUUUCACAAUACCAAAUAAACACACUAACAAUACAUAUUUAAUGGUAGAUUUAACUAGUGGCGGACCUAGAGGUUUUGUACAGCUAGCCUGGGCAGAUGAAGUAGCCUAGAGAUGUGCUUUGGCCCUUAUCCUUUCUGUGUGCCUUUUCCCUGGUUGCCCAUGCAUCACGUUGAAGGUAUUUUUUGCUAGCUUAAUUGUUCAUUCAGUGCACUACCGCUCAAUGAGCCCGGGCAGGUUCCCAGGGUGGUCGGGCCCUGGGUCCGCCCCUGGACGAAACUAAUUUGAUGUUGUAACUUAAUCAAAGUUAAGACAUAUUUAACUUGGGAUAAAGUUAAAGUAACUAAUAAUUUACAACGUCCGGGCUUCUUUCUGAACUCCAAAACUGAAUGAUUAUAGCGCCCAUGCAAGCCCUAAGAUGUAGAUUACAUAAGCUGCAAUGGAAUCCAAAUCUAUCCGGCCCGAGAUAUUUGACCAUGGGCAUUCAUAAUUGGGCAUGGGUAAACAUAAGCCGUGCUGCAAAAAGAAGAUAUAGAUGAGCUAUUAGUUCGUCGAUCGUUGGCAAUUGUAGAAAAAUAAAUAUUGUGGAGAGAUGGUUUGGUAACUCUGUGUGGAGAUUGAGGAAAGCAUUUUGUUCAAUCUUUUUAUGGUGAUUAAUUUAAGAGGACCUACCCCUUGUUUACUUCCCUCCAAACUUCCAACUUUGACACUAUGCAAAAAGAAGAUUCCCCAUCACAUCAAACUUGCGGUACAUGCAUGGAGUACUAAAUGUAGAUGAAAUCAAAAACUAAUUGCACAGUUUUGUUGUACUUUGCGAGACGAAUCUUUUGAGCCUAAUUAGUCAAUAUUUGGACAAUAAUUCACAAAUACAAACGAAACGCUACAGUGUCGCAUUUAUGGCAAAAUGCCAAUUUGGCACCUCCCAACUUGGGAAGUAAACAAGGGCCUAGACCCAUCCUUGCUUGCCUCCAGUGCCACAAACUGCAGUCUGUACUGCUGCCGCGACCAUCGAUCAGCCUCUGCCUGGAUGGUGAUUCAGCAUUGAAGACAAUAUCAUUCCGUUGUUUCCAAUAAACAUUUCAACAUAUUGGUUACACUAAUUCAAUAUUUUGAUCACACUAUUUCAAUGCUUUAUAUCAAAUUUGUUGAAUUAGUUUAUCUAAAAUGUUGAAACUAGGUUGGAUGAAAUGUUGAAUUAUGUAUUUGAAAAAAUGUUGAAUACAUAUGAAAGGUAUUUCAACAUUUCGAAUCAAAUGUUGGUAUUCAACAAAAUGGGUAUUCAAAUUUAAAAGAGUAAAUUUUUUGACAGCGUGAUUCAUAGGUUUUGGCAUGCGUAAUUGAUCCUAGCAUCACAAUACAAAUUAAUUAAAGCAUCAUAAGCACUCGCAAAUUGCAAGUAUUGAAAAUAUGAAGCCAAUUAGCAAAUUUGUCACCACAGAUGUUGCAGAAGUAUUGUCAUGAUGCCAUGCCAGAAAAGGGAGAAUGGGAGAAUGUCACACCUAAAAUUUUUGAAUUUCAGGAUGUGAUUAAAAGGAAUAAUUAAACAAUAAUUUUCUCAUAAUUUUAAAAUUUUUCCAACUUUUUUCUUUUUCUUUACAGGAAAUUUAGUAUGGGAAAAAAAUAUUUGAUUUUCUAAAUUAAAUAUUGUUGUUCUGUGUUUGUGCAUUCAUGCCGAUGCAUCUUGGUGUUCUUGAGUGCAAAUAUUUGAAAAAUGCAUUUAGACGUUGUCCAGACCUUUCCGGGAAUUUUCCAGCCUUUAUUGGAAUUAAUUCUCAUUUCCCUAGAGUUAAAUCCAAUUUUUGGAAGGCUCUAAAAUUCUUUUCAUGAGCUCCAAAUAUUUUAUUUGGACUCCUUGUGUCCUAAUCUAUCUCCAUGAAUUUUCCUAUAAUUUUUGGGAUCUUUGGAGUAUUUUCUGUGAUUAAAUGGAAUUUUAUUUCAUAGGAAAAACAUUCCUAACAGUUCUGGGCCGAGCCCGCAAGCUCGACCCGCGCCCAACCCACUCUGGCCCAUCUACCGAACCGCCAAGGCCCAUCUGGGCCCAGGCGCUGCUGCUCCCGGACUUGCCGAGCAAUGCCGCCGCCGGCCUCCCUGGGCCUCGGCGUGCGUGAGCCCUAGGGCGCCUCGCCCUAUAAAAUGGCGAGUCCCGAGCCCUGGCGCCGCCUGCUGCCUCCCCCUUCUUCUCUCUGGCGCCGCCGCCUCACGCCCGGCUGCUUUGCGCCGCCGGCCUGGGAGCCACCACCACCGGUUUUCGUCGCUGAUUUGCCGGCCAUGAGACCCCUUGGAGCAAGACGACAGCACCGAUGGAAUCCCCUCGUCGAGACGCAUCCAUUCCGCCAAUCCAUGUCGUCGUUCUGUCACCAGGACACCGCCGCCAUGAGAAGCCGAGCCGGCUGCUGCUUCCGUCCGCCGCCGGCUGGAUUUUGACCGCUGCUGCGCCUCCCCAUCGCCGGUGAGCUCAGGUGCAGUUUCCCCUUGCCCUCCUCUUCCUUUCCGCGUCCUCACCGCCGACUGUCGUCGCCGGAGCGCCGGCAAGCUGGCCGGUCAGAGUCCUGGCGAGAGGUUGAAGAAGGAGUCACCUCUUUUGCGGUUUGGCCCCUGGGAACUCCGGUAUUUUUCCUUUGGAAAAUCCUUGUGUCUUAGCAAACCUGCAGAUAACCCCCUAGAUAACCCCUCACUCUCAGAUCCAGUCCACCUAGGCUUUCUUUUGCAGAUCUAACCUCAAAGUUUAACCUUUUUGCAGUGACUGUUCCAUGAGUCUUGUGUAUCUCCCUUGCUAACCCUCCAAAUCUAUAGUUAAUUACGAUUAGGUCCUUCAAUCGUGUUUAGCUCUAGAAUCCAUGUUUUAACUCCGUUUUAAUCCGUUCAAGUUGCUUAGAUUCAUAAUAACGUAAGUUACACGAUAGUGGUGCUAUUGUCCAUCAUUUCAUGUCUUUGAAAAUAAAUUUGAUAUUAAAUUGAUUAAUGCCUGAUAAACAAGUUCUUCUCUAAAUAAAAUCUAUACAGUGUUAAACACCGUUUUUCAUAAUUAAGUGUUAACUUGAUUAAUGCAUACUUCACAUUAUUUUCUAAAUAAAAGCCAAUUAGGUUAUAUAUCGGGUUUUCAUAAACUAAUAUGAUUAAUGCUUAUCUAAACAACCUUUCCAAUUAAAAGCUAAUUAGAGUUAUACCUCGGUUUUUGUAAAAUAAAUUGAAUUUUCUUAAUAUUUAUUUAAUUUUCUUUCUAAAUAAAAUCUAUAUAGUUUAUAUCUCAAGUUUUCAUGAUUAAAUGUUAAUUCGACUAAUAUGCAUAUAAAUGUGUCGUUAAUCUAAUCUACUAGUUGAACUCGAAAUAUAAAGUUAUGCACUUAGAUGUUUACAUGUAUCUCACUUUUAAAUUAAAUGUUUAAAUUGCAUAAAUUAUACUUAAAUAUUGAUAAAUAAAAUUAGACUAAGCUUUACACCGUCUUUUCUUAUGAAAAUAUAACUAUGACUUGAAUAAUUCUAACUAAGGAUAUUUCUCUGAAAUAGCUUUACAUUGUUUUCUCAACUAAAAUAAACGAAGCUUGUAGCUCUUAUUUUUAUUUUAUAAUCCAAAACUCUCGCUAGCUUUAUCUUCUCAACCAUAGUUCUGUUCUCAGCGUUUCUUGCGUUUGCGUAAUCUUAGAUCGAGCCCUAUCCUCUAGUAUGAUCUUUUAAAGCUUUUCUUCUAUUUUUGGUGUAUUGUCCUUAGUUGUACUUGUUUGUUUACUUGUAUGUUGUGCCGGUGAUUGCUUCGAGUGAAAGGAUCGCUUUUCGGAAGAUUUGAAGAGUACGAGUUUCAAGUGAGCAAGAGCCGAAGAGCAGUAAGAGUAACUUUCCGUUGGAGAAAGGCAAGUGUGUCCUUGUGCUUUUGUCCCAAUAACUUUAUUUAAUCAGCAUUGCAUAUGCUUGCAUUUAAUUUGAUGGGUCCUAUUAAGGUUUGCCUAGUCUGUGUGAUCAUUCCUUGUCAACCUGGGUUUACCUUUCUGUUGGGUAGCUAUGCUUAGCUGCUAUACUUGGGUUAUGGUGGUUUUAAUGAACAAUAUGAUGAACUUGUUUUAUUUAUGCUAUACAUUUCUUUAAUACAAGAUCACUGUGUUUAAUUGGAACAUGGAGAACCACCCAGGAAAACAGUGCAACCACAAGAACUAUUAUGGCUCUGGUCUUGGCUAAUUAAUUAGAAACUCUAGUUUGAAGUGGUCUUACCGAAAGGGCAAGAGGGGGAGACAGUAGUCGGUAUAUAGCACUCGCUCUCUUGGAAAGUGGGCUUUGCUAAGACACUAUACCCACUAGAGGACUGUUAUACAUUGCGAUGAUCAUGAAACCUUAGCGGACUACUUCUUAUUAGGGAAUCUUUGUAAAGACCUCGUAGCGUCCCUAUGCAGUCACACCUCGGAAGUGUGAUGAGUGCCUGAUCAGCACAACAUGGUUGGGUCCAAAGUUCUUUGAACUUUUAUGCGACUUGUGGGUAAAGAUGUGCAACCUCUGCAGAGUGUAAAACUGAUCGAUUAGCCGUGCUCACGGUUAAGAGCGGCCUGGACCUCACAUGAUAAUUGAACUUGAAGAUGGACUUAAAUUAUGGUUUAUGAUAUGGUUAUGGUUGUGCCAUAUGCUUAUGGCUUAUGUAUCUAUUAAUUGUGGGUUGGUAUAUAUUUAUACCUUAGUAAUCAGGUGCUAAUAAAAUUUGACCAACUAAAAAUACUCAAUGUAGUCAACCAGUCAGCCUUUCCUUGUUUAAGCCUUGCAUUCAUAUUCUCCUCACACUUGCUGAGUACGACAUGUGCUCACCCUUGCUAUAACCAACGUUGCUCAGAAGAAGAAGCUGCUAUGAAGUUGAUGUGAAGAUGGUGCUGAGUUCUAGGCAUACGCCGCCCCCAGUCGAUUUCCUGUGAAGUUUGAAGCCUCCGUUUCUAGUGUUUAAGCUGCGUAUCUCUGAUGGUUUCCUAAGUCUUUAUUGUGUUCUUUUACGUGAUACUAUACUGUUAUUCACUUAUGAUGUCACUAUAUGUUUGAAACUUGAUCCUAGCGUACAUAUAGGUAGCACUUGGUUUUGUCCUUAAAACCGGGUGUGACAGAGAACUAGCAGAGAAGGCAUAGAUGUGAGGCAGAGGGGUAGGGGACGGAGAUGGAGUCUCACGAAGCCACCACACUUGCCAGCCACCGGUCACCGCUGCCGCCGCCCUUGCCAUGGUGCCGUGUGCCUGCGCCUCGACACCUGCGCAGGGCAGUCUGUUGUGCACCUACUCCGCUGUCAGGAACAAUGGCCUCAUUCAGUUUCGUCAGUUAAGCUCGUUCAGUUUGUCAAGCAAGCAGACAGAGCAAAGCAGAGCAAGUCAGCAUCCAUUUAAACGGUUCAGUGACUUCGUCGAUGCCGUCCAUCGGCCAUCCGACGUCCAUCAUCGUCUCACUCGCCACAUUGCGUUUUUACCUCAUUUUCACACAUGUAACAGUCCUUGCCGGUUGUAAAACACUCUUUUUACUGUUAUCCCUUGAGCUUGUAUUUAGCUCUUGGACAGGGUCUGUAAGCAUUAUCAAAGGAGAAGAUAAACUCGUAAGAACCCUAGGCUAGGUUAGUCUCUGUAGUUCCUCGCCGUCGCAUCAUCGGCAUCUGUAUCGGGUACUGAAACUGAACCUUUGUUUGCCGAUUCAGUUAUCUACAGAGCUAUUCCUGCCAGUUGCAGUUCGAGUUCUUGUUGUUCUUCUCAGUAUUUUGCUGUUAUCCCUGUUUGAUUGGUCCCCUGUUUCUCUAUUCCUCACAAUUGGUAUUCAGAGCCAUCCUUCCUUGGCCUAAAUUCUCCAACUUCCAGAGCCAAUUUCUCGAAUGUUGUUCAAUUGGAGCGGUGGUAGGUGGUUGCAACCUACUCACCUAAAAUCCCACCCUCCCACCCAGAUUCGAGGAAACCACCCAAUUUUCCCCAAAAUUAACGAUCAAUUCUUGUUAGCCAGGGUUGCUAGACACUUGUUCUAGUGUAAAAUUCCGUAAACUGACCUGAAUCAGAUUCGUGGAGGUGAAGGUGUGGACUGCUCUUUGGUGAGGGUUGCCAAGCAAGUCUUGGUGUCAAAUUCUAGAGCCAAAUCUGCAGUCUAGGUGGCGGUAGACGAUCUUGUGAAUCUGACAAGGGAGAGCUGUGCUCAAACUGAAUUCACAAGGGAGAGAAGAUGGUGAAUACUACAGUCAUUGGUGAAGUGGUUUAUGCCAUUGCUGAGGAAUUGGAAGGAUUAAGAACAACAAUGGACCAUUUUAUCAAGAAGCAAGAAGACCAAAACAAUUUGCCCAGUAAUUGUAAUUUCAAUAGAGAUCUAUUGCUAGAGGUUCAAAAUUAUCUUUUUCCAGAAUUUGAUGGCACAUAUCCUGAUGGGUGGAUCAGGAAGUCUGAAAAGUAUUUUGAGUUGGUGGGAGUACCGAAUAAAGAAAGAGUACAAAUUUCUGUGAUGCAUAUUGUGGGCAAGGCAAAAUUUUGGUGGAGAAGCACCGGUACCCCUUCAGCAGUUCCAUGGCAUAAAUUUUGCAGGAUGCUUGGAGACAGGUUCAAUGAACUCUCAACCUAUGAAGCAAUAGGCCAAUUCCACACAUCGAAACAAACAGGCAAUGUCAUAGAGUAUAUAGCCAAGUUUGAGGAAUUAAUGGGCUAGUAAAAAGGGAUAAUCCAUCUCUGCAAGAUGAAUAUUUCACUUACAGUUUUGUCUCAGGGCUGAGAGAGCAAAUUCAACACCACAUGCAAUGCCACAAACCAACAACAUUAACUGAAGCUUUUUGGUUUGCCAAACGUUUGGAGCAAGCUAACCCUACACCAAGAAAGUUUACAUUUUUUAAUCCUGCUACUAAACAACAAAAACCUUGGCAGAAAGAAACAAAAGCUCCUGAACCUAAAGAAGCUAACAACAUUGCAAAAUUAAGGGCAGUAGGCAAAUGUUUUAAAUGCAGGGAAGCAUGGGUCCCGGUCCCUAGACAUGCCAAAGUAUGUAAAGGCAAACAAAUUUACUCAGUUAUUGUCAUGGAGAAUGAUGAAGGCAAAGAAGAAAUAGCUGUUAUUGAAGAUUCUACUGUGGCAGAAGGAGAAAAUUUUGAUGCUCCACAAAAAUAUGAUGAUAUAUUUUAGGAGCCAGAAAACCUUCCACCCCAGAGAUCAGUUGAUCAUGCUAUCACAUUGUUGGAUGAGUCAAAAACAGUGAAUCAGAGGCCAUAUAGGUUGCCUUUUCACCAGAAAAAUUCAAUGGAGGAACUAAACAAGCACAUACUAGAUACCCAUAUGAUUAGGGUAAGUAUUAGUCCAUACUCCUCUCCUGUGUUAUUGGUGAAGAAAAAGGAUGGCACUUGGAGGAUGUGUAUUGACUAUAGGCAGCUCAACUCAAGUACUGUCAAGAGCAAGUAUCCUAUCCCGAUUAUCGAAGAUUUGUUAGAUGAAUUAUUUGGAGCCAUAGUAUUCUCCAAAAUAGACCUCAGAUUAGGCUAUCAUCAAAUUAGAAUGAAAGAGUCUGAUAUUGCCAAGACAGCUUUUACUACACAUUUGGGUCACUUUGAGUAUGUGGUACUAGCAUUGGAUUGGCUAAUGCUCCUGCAACAUUUUAGUCUUUAAUGAACACUAUUUUAGCAGAAUUUCUCAAGAAAUUUUCCCUGGUUUUCUUUGAUGACAUAUUGAUUUACAGCCCAACAAUGGAUGGCCAUGUCAAACACCUAAAGGUUGUGCUGGAAGUGUUAAGGCAGAACAAGCUCUAUGCUAAACUGAGUAAAUGUACAUUUGCUCAACAGAAAAUUGAAUACUUGGGUCAUGUAAUUAGCAGCCAAGGAGUAGUUACCGAUCCUUCAAAAAUAAGCAUCAUUCAGCAAUGGCCCUCACCAACAAAUGUCACAUAGCUAAGAGCAUUCCUAGGAUUGGCAGGGUAUUAUAGAAGAUUCAUCCAAGGAUAUGGAACUAUCUGCUAACCCUUAUUUCAUGCACUAAGGAAAGACUCUUUCACCUGGACAAGUGACCAGGAGCAAGCCUUCCAGAAACUAAAAGAAGUGAUGUCCCACCCUCCAGUUUUAGCACUCCAAGAUUCCAGUCAACCUUUUAUCUUUGGAGGCAGAUGCUAGUGGUAAUGACAUUGGAGUUGUGUUAAUGCAGAAAGGAAAACCCAUUACUUUUCUUAGCAAAACUCUAGGUCCUAAAGCAACAGAAGCUUCUACAUAUGAAAAAGAAGUUAUGGCCAUUCUUGAGGCAAUCAAAAAGUGGAAGCAUUAUUUUGCUAGUACUGCUCUCGUCAUCAGAACAGACCAACAGAGUCUGAAAUACAUCCAUGAGCAAAGACUUGUAGAAGGAGUUCAACACAAAUUAUUGAUCAAGCUAUUGGGAUUCAAUUAUACAGUGGAAUACAAACAAGGCAAAAGCAACAAAGUAGCUGAUGCUUUAUCAAGAGCUACCCACUCCAUUGAGUUGUUGGAAUUAUCCACAAUUAUUCCCAUCUGGAUGGAGCAAGUUAUUCAGAGUUAUGACCAAGAUAACAAGUGCUCAGACCUUAUAACCAAAUUGAGCAUUGACCCACAAGCUGUUCAACAUUUUACAUUGUCCUAAAGGAAAACUAUUCGUUGGAGACAGUGGUAAUCUGAAACAGCAGUAGUUACAAAGCUUCCACAAUUCAGCUUUGGGAGGCCACUCCGGUGAAAGAGCAACUUAUUAGAUAAUGAAACUGAAUUUUCACUGGCCAAAAAUGAAUCAACAAGUCACUGAGUUUGUCAAAAAUUGUGUUGUAUGCCAUAAAAACAAGUAUGAGAAUAUAACCUAUCCUGGGCUUUAGCAACCAUUGCCAAUACCAGAUAUGGCAUGGAUUCAUAUUUCAAUGGAUUUUGUUGAGGGAUUACCAAAAUCACAAAACAAGGAUAUGAUACUAGUGGUAGUGACACACUGUCAAAAUAUGCUCAUUUCAUUUCUCUGGCACAUACAUACACUACUCAAGAUGUAGCACAGCUAUUCCUCGAUCAAGUGUUCAAACUCCAUGGUCUUCCUAAAGUCAUCCUCACUGAUAGAGAUCCAAUUUUUACAAGUACAGUUUGGCGGUCUCUAUUCAAAUCAAUGGGUGUUCAACUCCACUUGACAUCAUCCUACCACCCACAAAUUGAUGGUCAAACUGAGAGAGUCAAUCAAUGCUUAAAGAAUUAUCUCAGGUGCAUGUGUUUUGCAAGUCCUAAAAGGUGGCAUCACUGGCUUUCUUUAGCACAAUGGCGGUACAAGACAUCCUAUCACACCUCCCUGAACAUGACACCAUUUCAAGCACUGUAUGGAUUCCAACCUCCUAGGGUAGCUGAGGUAGUAAUACCUGACUGUCCUGAUCUCACGGUGCAAGAACAAUUAAGCAACAAACAAGUGGGUCAACAAGUUACCAAGGACAAUUUAUAGAAGGCUCAAGCUAGAAUGAAACACCAAGCUGAUAAACAUAGAUCUAAUAGAGAGUUCAAUAUUGGAGAUAUGGUGUAUCUCAAAAUCCAGCCAUAUAGAUACACAUCUCUCAGUACACAUGAUUUUCAUCAACAGAUAAUAAUAGGAUCAUAAUGCGUCGUUGUCAAAGCAAUAUGCACGCAAGGACGAAGGGCAUGGAAACUUCGAUGGAUACGCCUUUCUAAAUUCAUACACGUGGUCCAUUUCACGCUCAUGCCCGAGCAGCGCUCCACCUCCACCGUCUCCAUGUCCAAACAGAACAUCUUGGCCCUCCCCGGUGCUGCCAUCCGGAUCUACACCAUCCCUGCCUCCACAGGUGGGUGCCAAAUCGAGUGGUCUUCUCCAGCACCCACACCUCACCGCUGCCACCGCCUAGCCUCGCGAAGAUCUUGAGCUUGCUGCCAAUCUCGUCGACCACGAUGCGAGCUUCGCCAUCGCGGCCGACAGUGGGGGUUGCCUUGAUGAUGUCUCUAUCAGGCAACACGAAAGAGGAGAACUCUAGGGUGUUCUGGUCAAGAGUGACCACCUUCUUCCUCCUCUCGUGCCAGAACAGUUGCCUGGCGGCGACCCCGAUGCAGUGUAGGAGCAGCGUGUCACACCCGGUUUUAAAAAAAAACCAAGUGCUACCUAUAUGUAUGACGUGCUACCUAUAUGUAUGCCAGAAUCAAGUUUCAUACAUAUAGUGACAUCAUCAAUGAAUAACAGUAACAGUAUCAUGUAAAGGAAAGAAGGAAAGAUAAAGAGUUUAUCAGAGAUUUACAGCUUAAUCCUGGAAACGAAGGCUCCAAACCGGGGAUUGCGUACGCCUAGAAGUCAGCACCAUCUUCACAACAACUUCAUAACAGUUUCUUCUUCUAAGCAACAUUGGUUAUAGCAAGGGUGAGUAUAUGUCAUACUCAGCAAGUGUGGGUAAAAUAUGAAUGCAAGACUUGAACAAGGAAAGGCUGACAGGUUUACAACGAUAAGCAAUUUUAGUUGGUCAAAUUUUAUUAGCACCUAAAUACUAACAUAAACAUAAGCCAUAGGCAUACGGCAGAAACAUAACCAUAACAUAAAGCACAAUUUAAGUCAAUCUUCAAGUUCAAUUAUCAUGUGAGGGUCCAGGCCGCUCUUGACCGUGAGCAUGGCUAAUAUAUCAGUUUUACUCUCUGCAGAGAUUGUACGCUUUCACCACAAGUCGCGUAAAAGUUCAAAAGAACUUUGGACCCAACCAUGUUGUGCUGAUCAGGGAGGUGUGACUGCAUAGGGACACUAUGAGGCCUUUACAAAGAUUCCCUAAUAAGUGGUAACCUGCUAAGGUUUCGGGUCGAAGCAGAGCAUAAACCUCUCUCAAGACUGCGAAGCUACCAUAGAGCAGAUCAGACUGAGGGCUGGGUUAUACCCCAUCAAUGCCUCCCCUCUUGCCUUUUUGGUAAGAUUACCCCAAACUAGAGUCUCUAAUUAAUUAGCCAAGACCAGAGCCAUAUAGUCCUUGUGGUUGCACUAUUUUCCUGGGUGGUUCUCCAUAUUCCAAUUAAGCAUGGUGAUCUUGUAUUAAUAAAAGGUAUAGCAUAAAUAAAAUAAGUUUAAUCAUUGAGUUCAUUAAAACCACCAUACCCAAUUAGAUCAACUAAGCAAGUACUACCCAACAGAAAGAUAAACCCAUGUUGACAAGGAAUGAUCUUAAAAACUAGGCAAACCUUAAUAGAACUCAUCAAUAAUAAAUGCAGAGCAAUGCAAUGUGAUUAAAUAUAGUUGUUGUGACAAAAGCACGAGGACACACUUGCCUUUAUCCACGAUACCGUUGCUGCUCAUAAUGUCUUGGUCUCCUUACUCUUGAAAGCUCUCGAACUGCGUUCAUUCUACCCAUGACAAUCAUCCAAAACUAACAUCCAGAGAACGCAAAUACAAGCAAACAAAUAAAAUAAAAAUUAAAAAAAGUAAACCAAUCAUCAAAAAUAGAAAAGUAAAGCACUUUAAAUUAUUCUACGCGUUAAGAUAUGUAUUUUAAGAAGAAAAGGAUAGCUAUUUGAACAUCACGAAAGGAUGAUGUCACCGUGAAGCAAUAAUCGAGAAAGGAAAUUAAAUGAAUUGAUAAAGUGGAUCUAACGUGAGCAAGGAUUUUAUAGUUGAAUAAAGGAUUGUUCUAUGGAUCAAAGAUAGUCAAGGCUAAAAGAUUAGUGAAGUUUUAAUAUGCUGGAAAGAAAAUACGGUUAGGAAGCAUCCUAGUUAUUUUUCUAAAAGAAGUGAUCCUACUUACUGCAUAGGCACGACAUCACCAUGACAUCAUACUUGCAUGGCGAGUGGCAUGUUUGCUUCUAUGCAUAGGAGGCCAGCAUCGAUCGAUUGAUUAUUUUGCUCAGCUUGCAAAGAUUAUAGCUGCUUGACGUGCCCAGCUUGCUCGACGGCGAUGGCCAGCGAUCUGAGCGGCUUGGCAAGGGUGCAUGGCCAGGGCAGCAGGACGAUGGAACAGGCAUGGCACGCGUGGCUGUUUGCUACGCACAGGCUGCUAAAGCAGCGCCGUCCUGCAGAACUUGGAUGCAACGAAACAGGAUAGCAAUGCAGGAGACCAAAGAGAAGAGAAGGCAUCGGUGUGCUCACCAUUACGGAGGAUCAACGGCGUGACGACAUGCUCGUCCGGGGCAUGGACAAGAUUGGUCCCACGGCACGGCUUUGGGCAAACGAUGAGGCGCCGGCGACGGCUGGACGCCGCCCAUCAGGGGAUCGGAGUAUCGACCGAGGUGGUGGCGAUUCGCUUCGUCGGCGUCGGAGUGCGCCUGAUUUGGCCGCUAGAGUUUGUCGGGACGACGGUGGCGCGUGGGUGGACAUUCGAACUAGGGCACGCUGGGGUGCUGGGAUUGAUGCGGAAAAGUGAGUCCGGGUGCCGUGGCUUGCAAUUUAUAGGUGGCGCGUUGGCUCAUCCGACUCGUUGGCGUCCGCGUCUGGAGUUCUGGUUCAGGUUCAUCUCGCGUUCCCCUGCAGCCAGGAGAAACGUGACGCUCUUUCUCGUGUCUGCAUACAGGUAUGCAUGGUGCUGUCUUGCUUGCACAUGAUGCCGAUGUGGCCUCAAACUGUUACCGACGGCAACAUACCAACAAGCAACGGCAGCAUAGAAUGCAAGCAGCUCGGCUUAGAGACCGGAAGCGGCGUACAGCAGGAGGCGGCACACAAAGGGUAGCGGCUUUGCACUGCACAGAAGCCAGCAGCGGCGGGACAGCAUGGCCAGCCGGCGGCAACGACUGGUGAACGGCAUGCAGCAACGGUGGAACGGCAGCAUGCGACGGCAGGAGCGUGUUUGAUAUUGUUGCAGGAGCGUGUUUGACAUUGUUGACAAGGGGAGAUGAGUUUAAGACUGCUGCGACUGACAGGUUACUUGCUAGGUUCCAAGCGAGCUCAGGACAGAAGAAGGAAGAGAGCAAGCUGAAAAGGAAAAAAAAAGAAAAGAGAGACAACAAAAGUUCUUUCUAUUUUUCUACCGCGUUAAACAUAUUUGAACUCAAACUUCCUCAUUUAAUCAGCACAAACAAAAGACCAGCAUCGGUGCAACACACACAGAACAACCUUAUUUAAUUAAAAAAAACAAUCAAUUAUUUCCUAUACUAAAUUUCCUGUAAAGGAAAUAAAUGUUGAAAAAAAUUAAAAUUAUGAGAAAAUUAUUAUUUAAUUAUUCUUUUUAACGUGGCACAGCGCCGGCCGCCCGUCGGUGCUCGUUUCCCGCCGGGAGGAGCUGCCGCCCGAGCUGAACAUAUAUGCAUGCGCGGAUGCGGCCGGCUUCAAACAAGCACAGCACCCUAAAGUUCGACAUGCCGAUGCUGCCGACAUGCUCGUCGGCGUCGGCGUCGGCGUCGCCGUCGAGGAGGACGGCGGUGGCGAAGUAGGCGGCGUCCGGCUUAGGGGGAGGGAUCAUCACGUGGCGCCGGGUCAGGGGCUCGCAGACGAUCAGGUCAGAGCGUCCGGUCCUGCAGUCCUCGCGGUCGAGCAGGAGGAGGCUCCCGCGGCAGUCAUUGACCGUCCAGCUGCUCUUGUCGUCACCGGGGACGAAGUCGAGGGAGAAGUGGCGGCCAUCGACGGCGGCGGCAACGUUGGCCGGCGAGGGAUCGAACCGUGGGCGGACGGAGAUGUCCUUGUUGUAGUACGAGCCGGCGACGGCGUGCGGGGAGCCGUGGAGGGCGCGGAAGGCGUCGCUGGCGAUGAUGCGCCGCCAUCGCUUGCACGUCGACGCCGCGCGGAGACAGAGCGGGGAGUCCAGGCGCAACAGAACGAGCUCGAGGAUGGCGUCGGGGAGAACGUCCUCGCUGCCCAUGGCGGCUGCCUCUGCACGAAAACUUGCUAUACGGAUCUACAACUGUAUUGUGCACGGAUUUACAGGUUGCAUAUAUGAAAUCCAAGUUCCGUUCAAAGUCUUGGUCGGCCACGCUCGCGCAUGCGUAUGCUCAAGGUGUUAGAAAUUUAGCAUAUUUCGGUACAUUUUAAUUUCAAAAUUAAACAUGCAAAAUAAUAUCAUGAUUAUAUUGAGUGAUUCACCGACAACAUAGUAUGCGCUGGUGUAUCCUAAUAAACAAGAACAAAAGGAACUAGGAAAGGUUCAGGAUGUACCCUAGGCGCCGGAUGCGCCGUUACUAUCUGGAUUAUUAUACUAAUUGUGGAAUGACCUCAAUCAAUGUAGUCGUAAAAGUUGAUGCAGGAAGAUGUAUGCAGUGCAGUCCUUCGAACGACCUUCUUGAAGUAGCAGUCGUUCGGCUGGACGUAGAGGAAAUAGUCGAACAGGGAGCGAGCAGUCGCGUCAAAUGCUCCCAAAAACCUUAUUGCCUGCCUAUCCCGAGCGGGAUCUUUAGCGGCAGUCGUGGUUCCGAAGGCUCUGCUCUUGCCAGAACUAUGCGCGCAGUGCUAGCGAUGGGAAUGCAAGGUUGCAGCAGAAAAUAGUGAGGGGAAAGAGAGAGGUCUCCUGAACAGGAAUGCCUGAGAGUAUUGGUGUUUUGCACGUGCAAGAGCAAGAGGAGGUGUUUCUCUUAUAUAGGCUCCAAGAGGUGAGGUUCAACAAACUUGGACAUCAUAUUGCGAUGGAAGUUACUAGUAAUUGAUGGGAAUAAUGGUCAUCAAGCACUAAGUAACUCUCAGCAUUUUAUUGGCUGUGUUAAUUGAGUGAAUCAAUUCUCAUAAACUACAAUAAUCACCUCUCUUCAGCUUCCCAUGCAAAAUUGAUCAAUUAGUAACUCCUAGAAUUCAUCAUGAACCUUUUAAUUCUUAUUUGAUUAAUUGAAAUAAAUGGAUCUAACCCAAUUAAUCCAACACAUGGGCAUACAUCGUUGUCUUCCUUGCGCAACUGGUUGACGUGCAACGCCCGACCCCGACGCUUGAAGCCCCCACCACUGUACCACUACCUCCGCCACCACCCUCUACCAUGGCCUGGAGCAAAUCCGUUCGCGCCAGAUGCCCCCAUCGCCACUAGGGGUCUCUCAUCGCCCGGCUCUGAUGGCGCCCACACCGCCUCCGUCUCUGCCACCUCCACCGCCGACCAACGAGCCUCCCAAAGCUCCCUCUAAACCUAAAGGCCACAGUUAAGAGCAUCGCCAACAAUUCCCCAUUUCCCAAUAUAACUACUGUAUUUGGAGAGUUGGUGAAAAUAGUUCUCCAACAUAUCCCCUUUAUCUUUCUUUUUCCCAAUAAUUAUUGGGAUAAAUCAAUAAUAAACACCAACUCCCCCUAAAUAAAGGAUGAGUUUAUGACUCUCCUAAUACGGUAGUUGAAUUGGGAUGAGAUUAUUGGAGAACUGCAAAUCAACUCUCCCGAUAGCUAUGAAAGAAAUAUUGAGACAGCCCCGUUAGCUAGUUAUUGGGGAAGAUUUAUCGUUGAACAGCUAGAGAUGCUCUAACUCCCACCCCAACCUUUAAACCAUGACCCUCAGUUUAUAGUAUAAGUUUGGGUGAUUGAGAGAUAACUAAAAAUCAAGCAUUUGAGAUGGAGCAAAUCUAUAGUUUUUUGGCAUACUGAAAAAAACCAGUUUUUUUACUCCAUUCUUUUAAUUUGGAACUCUUCGAUAUGCUCUAGUAUCAGCAAUAUUACGGUGUUGUUGUGUUUAAAUAUUCUCAAACCUAAACAUAAUUUUCUUUAGAACGAUGGCAGAAUGACUCCUUUUUGAAGAGAUGGAAUACUCUCGCGCAAGCAGAUGAAUAAAUUCCUCGCGGUGUAGUCUCACUUAUACUACACACCGGAGCCGAGCUUGAUUUUUUUUUUUGGCGGAAAGCCGAGCUUGAACUGAACCUUUGCUCAGUGAUCAUGACGCGAAAUUUAAAUUACUGAACCAAUUUCUACCAAAUUCUCUUGAGCGGAUCGAGCUUAUGUAUUACGAUGCCAAUCGAUCCGAAUACAAAACGACGUUCAUCGAUCACGCGUUGUCGUCAUUGCAGCGACAGAGGCCAUGGGAACUCAGAUGAAUACGACGUCCUACUAUAAGGCAAGCAAUCCACGUUAGGACCGAGCAGGCGCCCCGCCUCGUUGGUCUCAAAAACAAAAACUAUUGUAUUUAAAAAUUAUUUAGAAAUUAGACGUCUAGCUAAUAAUCAAAAUUAUUUAUCUAUUACUCUCUCAUUUUUUUACAUGAUUAUUAGAGUUUUCAAGAUUGAUGUUUGAUGUUUCAAAUUUUUGUGAGAAUUUCUAGGAUUUAUUUUUUCUCCAACAUGUCUUGUGAGAACUAAUGCGGAUUUUUCAAUGGAAAAAAAUUAGGCAACAUUGCUACAAAACUAUUAUCUUAAGCUACCUCUUAUUUGUUAAAUAUUCGAGCACAAUACUAUAGAUAUAUACUUAUUAUGUUCAUCUGAUUGUGAUAUAUUUUAGUUAGUAAAUACUCUAUACGUUCUCAUCCAUAUUUAUAAUCUUUAACUUUUCACUUUGCAUCGCAUGUAUACGCUUGAAUUUGUUUAAUGGACUCUAAGUUUGAGCUAUAUAAUUUUAACAUACAAAUCUAUAUUCUCAUCACUUUCUCUAUAUCUUUAUAAAUGUUGACACACAUCAUACUUAUAUACCUUAAUUAUUAUAUUUAUACCAAUAGUUUAAGAAAUAGACGAUUUAGAAUCAUAUAUUGGUUCAUCGAUCCGAAUUUGGAUCCAAAUUAUUAUAUUUAAAAAUCUAUAUUUUUAAAUAAGUGAUUUGGAUUAAAAUUUAGAAUUACCUCAUGUUAUUUUUCAUAAUGGCAUACAUGGGUAAUAUAGAUGCAGAUUUAAGGGUUACUUUAAAUUAUUUUUUAAGUAUUAGUACUGGCAAUAUAUAGGGAUUAUUUUAAAUUAUUUUUGUAACCUCAUAAGCGGGUAAUUUUGAAGAUUAGGGUUACUUAGUUUAUUUUAUAUAAUGACAAAGGUGGGUAAUUUAGAUAAGAUUUAGGGGGUUACUUUAAGCUAUUUUUAUAAUGGUAUAGGUGGGUAAUUUUUUAGAAAACAUAAUAGAUCCAAUGUAUGAUGAUUUGAAUCUAACGAUUGAUGGUAAGAUAUUUUAUUUUUUGUGAGAAUUUUAAGAGUUUCUCUCUUUUUCUAGAGUGUCCAUUUAAAAUUUUAGGUGAAGGUUUGAAAAAACCUCCAAGUAGUAAUAGUAAGAUGUCAAAUGGAAUCUCAUGUCCCUCCCAGCGCCGGCACCCGAAUCUGCACCGUCCCAGGCUGGUAUAUACAUAAGCAAUAUUUGGUUGUACUCAUUCACUCAUCGAGUAUUGGUUACAAGAUUCUAGAAACCUGGUAUCAAAGCAUAGCAUUAUAGAUCAAUUUUGCUUAGAAACAACAUGGAAUAGGAACACAAAACAUAGAAACAUAAAAAAGAAGUUAGUAUAUAGUAGAUUUGAAUCGAUUUUUGUUUUCUUUGUGACUGAACAAUUAAUCUACAAUGUCAAAACGUUGAAAGGUGUUCUGUAAUGAAAAGAAGCUACUCCCUCCGUCCCUUCCCAAAAAGAAAACGAACAUUAUUCAAAAUUUUGUCAAAAAGAAUGUUCUAAAAUUUAAAUCUCAUACCUGCAUGAUUUGACCCGUGCAUUGCAUGAUUAAGGUUGUCGUCGACGCAGGUAUGGUGUUCUCCAGCACCCACUCCUCGCCACUGCUGCCGCCUUGCAGCCUCGCAAAGAUCUUAAGGUUGUCGUCGCCGGGACGAAGUCGAGGGAGAAGUGGCGGCCGUCGACGGCGGCGGCAGCCGUCGAAGGCUCGAACCGUGGGUGGACGAAGACCUCCUGGUUGUAGUAAGAACCGGCGACGACGGGCGAUCUGUUGUGGAGGGUGCGGAAGCGGCCGGUGAAGCCGGCGCUGGAGAGGACGUGCCGCCACCGCUUGCACGUCGACGCUGCCCAGAGGAGCCAGAGCGGCGAGUGCAGACCCAGGAGGACGAGCUCGAGAGGGGGAUCGGCGGAGGGCGUCGACGUGGCUGCCCAUGGCUGCUGGCGGCUCUGCACGAAAACUGGCAGAUCAGAUUAUCAUCGAAAAAGAAAAAUCCUACGAGGAUUUACAGGUUGCUUGCAAGUUGCAAUCAAGUUCAAAGUCCUGGACGUCCACGCCCCUGCAUGCAUAUUCCCUAAUCCUAUUCGGACGUGAACAAGCAGGCCAACCGGAUUCAACUUCCCUAAUCCCUCAUAUAUCUCUAUCGCACUUCCCAAACGUGAACUGCUCAUCAUCAGAUCGAUCCAAUUAGUAUAUCAAGCACCAUGGCGGCUGCGAACACGGACGAGGUGAAGAUGAUGUCGGCGCCGGAGACGGGGGAGGGUAAGAAGAGGACGAAGCUGGUGAGGGUGAAGCAGGAGUACAUCGACUGGAUCCUGGUGAAGCGCAAGGUGCUCCCUCGCCGGCCCUUCCCGUCCCUGAGCGACGAGGUCCUCGACGGCGUAUUCAGAGCCAAACCCGAGCUUAGAGAACGACUCCGCCGCGACUUUGCCGAGUGCGCCGCUCUCAUGAAGAAGAUCCAUGACGACGAGGACGACAUCCUCGAGCAGUACCACGCCAAGGGGUACGCCAUGCAGGAGAUCGAGAUCAGGGAUGACGAAGGAGAGGUGGCCGGAUGGCAGCUGCAGCAGCGCAGAGGAGGCAGCUGUGGGACAUAGGAGCCGGCUGUAAGCACAGGCUUGACGUUUUCCUAGCUAGGGUUUGUGGUCCGCUAAUCAUUAGUUAUCUUUGUUAUAGCGAAAAAGAAAGAGAUUUACAGGUUGAUUUAGUAUCUGUUACUACAUCCGAGCUAUAGAUUGAUUACUAUUUGUAAUAAUCAUUUUAUAUAAGAGUUGCUAUAUAAUUAUUGUUUGUUAUAUGAACCAAUGCACGCGGCAACUUCAAAGUUCAACUGUUGAAGCCUAUUGACAUUUGGGAAACACAGAGCUCGAACUAUACAAUGGAACAGCAGCAACAAAGUCUGAACAUUGGAACUGAAAACGUUUGACUUGAUUUGUCAACCCUCUGCAAGAUGCAAUGAUUGUGUGUAUGGUUGGAUUUCGACUAGUUAGUUUAAUUGUUAUUUCUCCAUCGGGUUGAGAUGAUUUUUUUACUACCUACAGUACCCAAUUAUCUUUCGGAAGGAGCAAAAUAAAGGGAAUGCAAACAGGGCGGAUCCAAGACUCGAAGCAAGGGGAGCUGAUUUUUCCCUUCUUCUUUCUGCCUCCUCUCUUUCUCUUCUUCUACCUCUUCAUCCAUGGCUGAAAUAUUUAGGCAGUUGCUGAUCAAUCCACCCCUGAAUGCAAGCUGCACUUGAGCACUAGGUAGGGGUAGGGAUGAAAAUGAUCGGUGGAGGGCUCAACCACUUUUAGUUUCGCAUUUUUCAAUCGAAAACAAAAAUGAUACGAUACUGUCGAGAAUGAGAAUGAUGUAUGCAUUCCAGUAAUAUUUCGUUUCGAGAAUGAGAAUGAUGUAUGCAUUCCAGUAAUAUUGGAAACGAAACUAUCUUAGUAAUAUCGGAAACGAAACUAUCCGAUCGAAAGCACAUCGAUAAUGAUUGAAACCGACCAAAAUGAUAUUUCAAAAAUGAGAACAUCGCGACCAAAAUGAUAUUUCAACAUUUCAGGCUCAUGUACAGUAAGUCGGUAAGGGCCGUGAUUUCGAGUCAUAGUGACAAAUUUACAACAACGGUUCAAACCCAUGGGGAAAAAAUAUAAAUGGCCACCAAAGAAUUCGUUAAUUACAAUCCUCAUGAGCCAUUAUUUUGAGGUGACGCUGCUGGGUGCCUUUACUUUGUCUGGGAGAUGCCGAGACCCCUGACGCGGCUCCAGCAGCGGCAGACGGCUUCACGCGCUUCAGGCUCCGCCCACACCCAGACCGCCGCCAUGACGCACGCCACCACGGCGGCGGACGGUACGCCGGCGGUGCACCCCCACGGCUCAAACUUGCAGGAGAUAGUGACGACGAGCAGGGCGCUGGCGAGGAUCGCGCCCAACCUCGCGCAGAACGGCGAGACGAAGCUGGGUUCCCCGACGAGACGCUUGGUGGUAGCGGCGGCGGCGGCGGGGCACCCGGUUCCCGCCAUGAAACCGACCCCUGUCAAGGCGCAGGUCACCACCACCAUGGCGAGGUACGCCACUUCCGUCGCGGUGUUCCAGCCGGCGAUGGUGUCCUUGGACUCGGCGAGGAUCCCGAUCAUGACGGCGGUGUCGUACGUCAGGAGCGCGAUCACCACAGCAGUGAACGGGCUCUGCAAAACAAGGAGCUUUAGUUCAGCUGCGAGUUGAAUCCGUCACCGAAUCGGAAAGGGGAAAAGGGAUAUACCUCGGCGCUGCCAGCGGAUGCGGUCGGUCCAUCCCUGAAUCUGAUGAUCUUAGCAAAGAAGUUGCCAAUUUUGCCCAUGACGGCGGUGGCGGGCUCCCGGUUGGAGCGGCGGCGGACGGGUCGUGUUGUCGGCGGCGACCAAUCGACUCGGCGGGGAGCACAGCCGCGCGCAGGGCUCGUGCUCCGGCGGAUGAUGCUCAACGAGACGAGCGGGGGGUCGGCCGGUCGAGGUCUCGAGGGUAUUUGUAGAAUGUAGAGUCUUUUCAUAUGCGUGUCAGCGUGUCCGUACGUGCUCUCGUAUUUCCAUGCUAGGUAAUGGAGGGGGUCCAUUUUCAGGCUCCACACGGCUUUGUGCGACGACCUAGAAGGCGAGAACCCAAAAAACGAAACGGUAAUGCUACUGUACGAGCGCUCCGGACGCACCGGACGUUCCGCUCCAAAAUAUCUGGCGCUUCCUAUGUAUCCAUUUUCACCAUUCUUUUUUCUUCCCCAUCCCACUCCCGUGACCUUUCUUCUUCAACCUUCCACCCCGGCGUCCUCCUCGUCCACCCCGAUGGCGGCGCGCUCCCCAACCCGGCAGCCUCGUCCCCCACCCGCUCCCCCACUCUGGCAUCCUCCUCGCUCACCCGGCGGCGGCGCGCUCCCCCACCCCAGCGACCUCGUCCCCACCCCGGCGUCCUCCUCGCCCACCCCGGCGGUGCCCCUCCCCCACUCCGGCGUCCUCACCCAUCGGGGGCGCCCAACGCCCCCGGAUCCGGUGGCUCUCUCCCCGACCCCGGAGAGAUCCGAGCGGGGAAGGAUCGGGCGGCGGUCAUGUUGCAAUAGGUAUCUCACGAUGUUGCAGUAGGGAUUCUUGGAUGUUGCAAACGCUACCGUUUUUUUUCUUCCCCAUCCCUUUUCUUCUUCAACCUUCCAUCCCGACGUAUUCCUCAUCCAUCCCGGCGGCGGCACGCUCCCCAACCCUGGCAGGCUCGUCCCGCACCCCGGUGGCCUCGUCCCCCACCCCAACGGCGGUGCGCUCCCCCACCGCGGCAUCCUCCUCGUCCACCCCGACGGCGGCGCGCUCCUCCACUCCGGGAACCUCGUCCCCCACCCUGGCGGCGCUCCUCCCCCCACUCAGGUGUCCUCAACCAACCGGGAGCACACAACGCCCCGGAUCCGGUGGCCCUCUCCCCGAGCCCGGCGAGAUCCGAGCGGGGAAGGAUCGGGUGGCGGCCAUGGUGGACGACCUUCGACGGCAAGCUGGUUGUCGUGGAUCUGAGUGUUGCAAUAGGUACCUCAUGGUGUUACAAUAGUUAUUUUUGGAUGUUGCAACGGUAGCUUUUGAUGUUUCAUCUGUUUUGCACCGGAUCCGGUGGCCCUCUCCCCGACCCCGGCGAGAUCCGAGUGGGGAAGGAUCGGGCGGCGGCCAUGGUGGACGACCUUCGGCGGCAGGCUGGUUUGUCGUGGAUCUGAGUGUUGCAAUAGGUACCUCAUGGUGUUUCAAUAGUUAUUUUUGGAUGUUGCAAUGGUGGCUUUUGAUGUUUCAUCUGCUUUGCAACAGUCUGACUCGCCAGCAAUUGGGUGUUGCAUCAACUUGUUCAUGAUGUUGCAUAUAGUUGUUUUCUUUGUUUCGUCUCUUCUUCUUUCGUUGUUGCAAUGUUGUAAGAGAUAUUUUUUUGUUGUUGCAAUAUGUCUAUUUUGAAUGCUGCACGAAGCAAUUCGGGAUGUUUCAUGCACGUAAAGGUAUUGCAAUCCUCGGUGUUGCAAGUGUUGAUUUUUGAUGUUUCGAUAGUUAUUUUUCAAUGUUGCGACGGAGCGUCCGAUAAAACAAAAUUAUCGGACGUCCGGGCGCUAGCACUUCCGAAAAACGAAUCUUGACACUCGUGUCAACGACACACGUCACGUCAGCGCAGAAAAAUGGAACAACGAGAACCCGGGGUCGUCGCCGCCUCGCCGGCUUGGUCAGAAAUAACAAACGUCAGAGCAAAGAAAACACGAAUAGAUUUAUUCAUUCACAGGUUUACGUGAUGAAGAAAUGCUACAUUGUCAGCAAUGCCAAAACUGGUACAGCCUAAGUUCAAAUACCCCCCUAAAGUAUUAAAUUGUCUAUUUACCCCCCGAGUUUGAUAAACCGGAUCAAAACGCACCUUAACUCAUACUUCAAGCUCGAUAGCUGGUUUUCAAACCGGUUUUGCAGCCCCGGCAUCCCGUGCUCCGACGGGGCACCUUGGCCUGCGCCGCCGUCGUGCUCCCGGCAGCCCCGGCCGGCAUGCCGUGCCCCUGCGGCGGCCUGCAGACCUUGGCCUGAGCCGUCGUUGCCUGCUGCACUGGGCACAGAGCCCUCGCCUCUGUGCGUUACCUGUCCUGCACGGCCGCUGCUUGCUGCGCCGCACGAGCUCCCGGCCUCCGCACUGCACCUACCUGGCACAUAGCUCGCCAUGGAGCGACCGAAAAGGAGUCACGUGUGUUGGACUGAGGCUGUUUUUGUUGGGUGACCAUAAGGUGUGUUUGAUUUCUGCCCCCUUGCGAAUUGGCUUUAGUUUUGCAUCUUGGAGCGCUAAUACAUUGAUCCAAAAGAUUAUAUUGCUGCGGUCAGAAAGAUUGGUCCUGGGAGCAUGCAUCACAGUUAUUAAUGAAGCAAUCUGCCACUACAAUCUGAAACUGAGGGCCUGUUUGGAUCCAUGGACUAAAUUUUAGUCUUGCACUUUUAGCUCAAAAUUUAGCUCUUGGGAUCCAAAAAGGAGGGCUAAAAGUGACAAAUAGCUAAACUUUAGGAGCUAAAUUUUAACCCCCAAAGAGGACCUAAAAGAGGCUAAAAGUGCUCCCGGAUGCCACUUUCCUCUCCUUACCCCUUCUCUCUCCUCCCCGCACUCUCUCUCCCUCUGCACUCUCUCUCCCUCCCUACAUGCUCCGCCCGCCCCCGCCUCCUUCGCCCGCCACCGCCAUCUCCGCUCCGCCCCACGGCGCUGCCACCUCCUCCUCCGCCUCCGCCUCGCCCCUGCCGCCACCUCCUCCGCCGCCGCCUCGACCCCGCCGCCGCCGGCCUCGAUGCUGCCGGCCGCCAGAUCUGGGGGCCGCGGCCGCCGCCAGAUCUUCCGCCAGGCCCCCGCCUCCGCCCGACCCCACGUCCUCCACCCGCCCCCACGCGCUACCCUAUCCAAUCACGCGCCACGCACCCUGUGGAGGAGGGAGGCGGCGGCGGACGCGGGCGCGGGCGCGCGGCGCUGAGCUGCAACGCCGCCUCGAGCAGACCUACGGCAAGCGCCGCCGCCUCGUCAAGAAGGCCCGCGGCCGGAUCCACGAGAUCCGCGCGCGCCUUCAUGAGCGCGAGCAGCAACAGCCCCCCCCCUCCCCCCCGCAGCCCAAGCAAUCGAUCGUGUCCGGUCUCCGAUCGAACAGUAGCUACCAAAUCCCCUUCUCAGUUGUUCUCCAUCUUCGAUGGAAUGGAACAGUAGCUAACAAAUUCUUGUGCUUCCGAUUUUCGCCUGCAGGGCAAGCUGCUGUCCAUGAUGCCUGUUUGUUGCUACCGCUUCUCUUUUCUGAACUUCACAUUGGGAGCUGCCACUGCAACUAGCUAGCGGCUGGUGACUACUUUGUCCGAGAUAAGUGAAACAGCAUGGAAGAAACUAGCAGGCGCAUGGUAGGCGACCAGCAGGAACAGCAAGUAGUUCCUAGCAGGCGCAUGGGUGCAUGUGCAUUCCUGUGCAUGUGCAUGGAGUCAUUAACGAGGGGCAAAUCAGUCAUUAUUUGAUGAGAAACUAAAGUUUAGCUCAUGGAUCCAAACAGCCCAGCAAGACUAAAGUUUAGGGGCUAAAAUUUAGUCCAUGAACUAGUGAUCCAAACACCACCUGAAUGCUGGAAAAACUGUCUCCCUCUAGCUCCUGGACAAUUGUGAUUCCGUCAGUAGCUUUCAGUGCCAAAAAUAGCUCAAUUUGGUGGUUGCGGAUACACUGGAAUGACCUGAAAGAUGAAAAGGGCCCGAUGGUUCUUGCUUCGCAUUGCCUGUACCCACGGACGCAUAAACCAACGUCGACAGAGAAGGAUGCCACCGUACGGCCGGGACGGGAGGCAAGGGGUAACGCACGGGAGCCAGACCUAAACAUACUUAGCUACGUAGGCCACUAACGUGUCAGUCCAGUCAGUAAAACCGGAUGAAAACCAGCCGCCGGUUUAAAUAACGUGCUAAAAGGUGUAUUUUCAUCUGGGUUUAAAAAACAAGGGGUUAAGUAGACCAUUUAAUACUUUAGGGGUUAUUUGGACCUAGGCUGUACUUGAAGGUAGUAAAUUGGACUUUUUCCAAACUAGUAUACACAAUCUAUAUUCCGUUUUAUUGGCCUUCCGUCCACAUGAUCCCCAUGGAAACGCGGGGGCCUAGGAUUCUGACACGCCACAUGGAUGACGAGACCGGCCAUCUUAUCGGCGCCGCUAUUCCCUCUUCGCUAUAACCAGAGGAAGUGACGAAAUCUUCAUUGCUGCACAUCUCACUCCAUGUUGUUGUGCUUGCCAUAGGUCUUGCAUGCCUGCAACAAGCUAUGCUUGCCCACCUGAUCGCCAUGCAACCAUGUGCAUCGAUUCUUCGAUAAAAUAAAAAACAAAAACCACGUCAUAGAAAAACUAACACAUUCAAAAAAAACUAAAAACUGAGAAGAUUGUUGAAAUGUCGGUUUAAUGUUUCUCUCCAAAUCCCGUAAAAUUUAGAAAAUGAGGGUAAAUAUGUAGUUAAAGGUGAAAAUAAGGACAAUUAUAUAUACAAUUGCCGUGUAUUAUUUGUAGUAGCUAAAACAUAAAUAGUAUAUGUAUAUGACUUUCAAGCUUGACCCUCGAGUCAAAGACACACGUCACGUCAGCCGAGAAAAAAUGGAACAAGACAACGCGCGGGGCCGAGAGCUGUGGCCCGAUUGCGAUUGCGACACGCCACAUGAAGGACUUGCGAGUUGACUGUGGUCGAGUCGUUGAGAAAUGGAAGCUUCUCUGUGUCAGCUGCAUUGCAUUUGCUCUGCAUUUUCCUUUUUGGAUUCUCUCGAUCACACUCGGGAGCUGGUUUAUAUUUGCCAAUUACUGGAUACGAGCUGGUCUAGAGGUUCAUAAACCAGUCAGGUCAACCAAAGCAAUCCUCAGGGUCACCAUGCAUGUGACUUCCAAAAUUUGACAGACCAACAACCACAGCAUGUCAGCAUCAGUAAGUAACCAUCACAACGUAGAAAGAUUAAGUGAGAAACCUACAUACUAGAUAUGAGAGCAGAGCAAAAACAAGUCGGCGACGGCGACGGCGACGGCAGCGCGGCGGCGGCGGAGCCGUGGGGAUCCCUGGUGGUGGCGCUGCGUCCACAACAGCAUCAGCUAUGCUCGCCCAAGUAGCACGGCUUAAAAACUGAGCAUUUGUCCAACACGUUAGUACCGGACGUUAUUUCAUCACGCCCAGUACCACCGGAGUCCUUGUACUACCGGUUUGGAGCCUUAGCCGGUACUAAAUGGCGGCGGAUCGAUUGGCCAACGGCUAGAUUUCCUUGGAAGCCAUUUAGUACCGGCUGGUAGUUUCAACCGGUACUAGAUAGUGUUCACGCAUGUGUGUACCGGCUGUUAGCUUCAGCCGGUACUAAAUGUCACAAUUUAGUACCAGUUAGAGCCACCAACCAGCACUAACAUACAAACUAUAAAAUAAGAUCCUUCUUCCUCCCCGAGCUCGAGCUCAACUAUUUGACCGAGAGCUCGGGCUUCUUCACUCCCAUGGCGACCUAGGGGACGUGCUGCCCAUUUUUUCACGAUUUGGGGGGAUUUCACUCUUCCAAUUGUUCUAAAGGUUAGGAAUUUCAUCCUCCCUCCUAUCAUAAUUAGUAUUCUAUAUUUUAUACUUUGUAGCUAGAGAAGUUUAUGCUUUUUUAAAGUGCGGAUGAAUGAAGAGUUUUUCAAUUUAUACAUGCAUGUAGAAUGUAGAAUUUUUACUUAUGAAAGUCUGUUUGAUAAUGAGAAAUUCGUAUUGGAUGUUGAUAAAUAUGUGUUGUGUUAAUUACUUUUGUUGCUUUACAUAAAUAACAUAAGUACAAUGUUGAAACAGAAAUAAUCAACUAAUUUUGUUGCUUUACAUAAAUAAUAUAGUUGAGCUCAAGCUAAUGACGAUUUGGGACAAAGGGAGUUGCUGUCAAAAUUACUCACAAAAUUUACAGGGAUUUAAUUUGCUCAUCGAAAGUGGUCCAUAUAUAAAAGGUCAGCAAUAUUUUUUGGAAAGUUUUUUUUACAUUUGUUGCUUUACAAAUGGAGAAGUAAAUUUAAAACUUUUUGCAGAUGGACCAGCAAUGGCUGUACGGCGACUAGUGCUCCGUGCCGUUGAUUAAUAGCCUAAAGAAUUUUCUCGAAGCAGCAGAGGCCAACAAGUUGCCAAAGGAUUUCAUGUGUUGUCCAUGCAGAAUGUGCAAAAAUAAAAAGGAUUACUCUAAUAGAGAAACUCUACAUGGCCACAUAUUUCGUUGGGGUUUCAUGGAUAACUAUAUUCUUUGGACCAAGCACGGCGAAAGAGAAGUUGUAUUGGAAGGUGAAGAAGAUGAUGAUGAUAACAACAUUCCAGCUGACUGGGCUAAAGGUGGUGCCUUUGCAGAUUUUGAAAUGGGCAAGGCUGAAGAAAAUUUUGCAGAAGAUGAACCACCUAACGAACUAGGUCAGGUGUUGCUAGAUGCAAAGAAACACUCUAAAAAUGCGAAGGAGACAAAGAAAUUUGAGAAGAUGUUGGAGGAUCACAAAAAGUUAUUGUACCCCAAUUGCAAACAAGGCCACAAAAAGUUAGGUAGCACACUGGAAUUGAUGUAGUGGAAGGCAGCAAAUGGUGUGACCAAUAAGAGAUUUGGGGAGCUACUGACAAUCGUAAAGAACAUGCUUCCCGAGAGUAGCAAACUUCCCUCAACCACAUAUGAAUAAAAAAAGGUUGUUUGCCCUCUAGGAUUGGAUGUACAAAAGAUACACACAUGUCCUAAUGAUUGUAUCCUUUAUCGUGACGAGGAAUAUGAGAAAUUGGAUGCUUGUCCUGUUUGCGAGGCAUUGCGGUAUAAGAUUAGAUGAGAUGACCUUGGUGAUGUUGAUGGGCAGCCUAUCAACAAGAGAGUUCCAGCAAAGGUGAUGUAGUAUUUUCCUGUAAUACCAUGUUUGAAGCGCUUGUUCAUAAACAAGGCGCAAGCUAAGUUGAUGUGAUGGCACAAAGAAGAACGUAAGCAAGAUGAGAAGCUGAGACACCCCGCGGAUGGUUUUCAGUGGAGAAACGUUGACAAACAAUUUCCAGACUUUGAGAAGGACACAAGGAACCUAAGGUUUUGUUUAAGCACUGAUGGAAUGAAUCCAUUUGGUGAGUUCGGUAGUGCUCAUUGUACAUGGCAUGUUACCAAAUAUAUCUUCAACCUUCCUUCUUGGUUGUGCAUGAAGUGCAAGUUCAUCAUGAUGCCGGUCAUUAUCAAAGGAACAAAACAACCUAGCAACGACAUUGACGUGUACCUAAGACCGUUAGUUUAUGAACUUUUACUGCCCUGGAAGGAAAAAAGUGUACAUGUGUGGGAUGAGGAAAAACAGGAGACUUUCAUUCUCAGAGCAUUGCCUUUUGUAACCAUCAAUGAUUGGCUUGCACUUCAUAAACUAUCAGGACAGACAAACAAGGGAUAUCGGGCGUGCACCCACUGUCUAGAUGAAAUCGAUAGCAUGUAUUUGAAACACUGUCGGAAUGUGGUGUAUAUGAGCCAUCGUCGAUUUCUUCCUGCGAAUCACCCUUUAAGAAAGAAAGGAAAGAAUUUUAAAGGGGAGCCCGACACUCGUACUAAGCCUUUACACCGUAACGGAAAGCGUGUAUUUUCUAUGAUAAAGGAUGUGAAGGUAGUCUUUGGUAAGGGUUCUGGUAGCCAACCUGUUCCGAACAACGAUAAUGGACGUGCAGCCAUAUGGAAGAAGAAGUUUAUAUCCUGGGAGCUACCUUAUUAGGAAGUUCUAGAGGUCUGCAACACAAUUGAUGUGAUCCACCUGACAAAGAAUCUUUGCGUGAACCUGCUAGGCUUCCUCGGUGUUUAUGGGGCACCAAAGGAUACAUUGGAAGCAAGGCAGACCUUGAAAACGUACGGAAUAACAAGAGGACCUACAUCCAGAAAAGAGAGAGAAUGGACAACACUACUUAUGUCCUGCCAGCUACACUCUGAGCAAAGAGGAGAAAGAAAGCAUGUUUGUUUGCUUGGAUAGUAUGAAGGUCCCAUCCAUGUACUCCUCUAAUAUACAAGGAAUAAUAAAUGUGAAAGAGAAGAAAUUCACAAAUCUAAAGUCACAUGACUGACAUGUCCUGAUGACACAGUUGCUUCCAGUUGCACUGAGGGGUAUUCUACCAGAGAAUGUGAGAUUGGCAACUGUAAAGCUAUGUGCGUUCCUCAAUGAAAUUUCGUAGAAUGCAAUCGAUCCAAACAAUCUAAUAAAGCUAUAAAAUGAUGUGGUCCAAUACCUUGUUAGCUUUGAGAUGGUCUUUCCACUUUCCUUCUUUAAUAUUAUGACUUAUCUCUUGGUUCACCUUGUUAAAGAGAUAAUCAUUCUGGAUCCAGUAUACCUGCACAAUAUGUGGCCUUUCAAAAGGUUCAUGUUGGUCCUAAAGAAGUAUGUUCACAAUCGUGCCCGUCCAAAAGGAAGCAUCACCAAGGGAUAUGGAGCAGAGGAGGUCAUUGACUUUUGUGUUGACUUUAUUGAUGGAUUUAGUUCGAUAGGGGUCCCCGUGUCACGACAUGAGGGCCACGUGAAGAGAAGGCACACUCGGGAAGAAUGGUAAUAUCAACAUACAUGAGACUGAAAUCUGCAAAGCAAACUUCACAGUGCUGCAGAAUUCAUCCUUGGUUGCUCCAUAUAUGGAGGAGCACAAGGAUACUGUACGGUCAAAAAAUUCAGGGAAGUCUAAGGCAUGGAUUACACGGCAUCACAUAGAUACUUUCGCAACAUGGAUUCGACAACACCUCAUGGGUAACGAGACGAUUGGUGAACAACUUCAAUGGAUGGCUAGGCGACCAUCUAUCUCGAUAUUGCAAUACCACGGGUCCGAGACAAAUGGGUUUAUAUUUUAUAUGAGAGCCCAAGAUCAAAAGAGUACCAACCAAAAUAGUGGUGUCCGUGUAGUUGCAAUAGACAAUACUGGAAAUAAGGAUAGUUACUAUGGUGUCAUAGAGGAGAUUUGGGAACUUGAUUAUGGACCUUUGAAGGUCCCUCUGUUUUUCUGCUAAUGGGUUGCUGGAGGAGGCGUAACAAAAGACCGUAAUGGGAUGAUAAUAGUGGAUCUCAACAAGAUUGGAUAUAGAGACGAAUCAUUCAUCCUAGCCAAGGAUAUGAGUCACGUUUUCUAUGUGAAGGAAAUGUUAAGCAAACCCAAGAUGAAGGUCGGUAAAAAGUUAGAAGAUGAGCCAAAACACCACAUAGUUCUGCAAGGGAAAAGAAAAAUCGUUGGAGUUGAGGAUAUUCCAGACAAGUCAGAAGAUUUUGAUCAGUUUGAUGACCUUCCACCAUUCUCAGUUCAGGUUGACCCUAUCAUCUUAUUAUCCAAAGAAGACACUCCGUACUUAUGCCACGAUCAUGUCGAAGGGACGUUCGUCAAGAAGAAAAUUAUCAAUGUUCCAUUGAAUAAUAAUGAGUCACUUUAAAACUUUAAUAUUAUGUGGUAUUAUGUGGUCAUGUGAUGAACUAUGUAAUCUAUUUUGUACAAUUUGAACAAUUGUGUGGUAUUUCUCUCAAUUAAUGAUACUAUUUUAGCUCCUCAAAAUUCUAGAAACAUUAAAUUAGAGGCAAUUAUACAAGUAUAUUUUAUAUUGAUGGCAUAAUUGUCAAAUUUAUUAUAGCUAAUAUUUCUUAAUAUUUUAGCAUGUUGAAAAUAGUAGUUUUUUUCCUUUUUUAUGGAUUACCAGUAGUAUGGAAACAUUUCAUAUCCUAUUAGUAAUUAAAAACUUCUAAUUUUACAAUAUAAAUAAAUUGUUGUAUGGUGCAAAGAUAAUCAAUAGUAAGAUAUGAAAUGUUUUUCAAGUAUUUUUCCUAAGUUUACUCCAUUUAUUAAGCAUAAAACUAAUAUAACAGCAAUUUUGAAAUAAGAAAAGAAAAUAGAGUGUUGGUGGGAAACGAAACACCAGGGAAAGGUUAGUACCGGGCGGAAGCUUUGCCCAGUACUAAAUUUCCCCAGUUUCGCCUCCCGCCUUUUUUGGCCAAAUUAGUACCGGGAGGUGGCAUUGCCCGGUACUAAAUGGCACAAUUUAGUACUGGGUAGCAGCUUUGCCCGGUACUAAAAGCCAUUUUGUACCGGGCAAGGCCUCCACCCAGUACUAAUCUGGCCUAACCUACAAAAAUCCCACCCCUCGUCUUCUCCAACACUUAGCCGCUCACUCAUUCCUCUCCCGAUCCCACCACUACUCCGCCGCCCCCACCGGUGUCAUCCACCGUUGCUCGCAGCCUCGGCUCCUCCUUGACAUCCGGCCGCGCCUGACGCUCCACGCAUCAUGGCGCACUCCGCCCUGCUGCACGAAGUGCUCCACCUCAACGUCCACCGCCUCGGCCAACCGCCCAACUUCGCUGCCGGUUGCUAUCCCGACUCAUCCUCGACUUCCUCAACAUCCGACAGCACCUGACGCUCCCCGGCAGCAUGGUGCACUCCACCACGCCACACCCCACUCUCCUCCUCGACAUCCAUGCCGCCCGUCACCCUAGCCAACUGGCCCCCUUCCUCGCCAGUUGCGACCCCGGCUCUUCCUCAACAGCCUUGACGUCCAACAGCACCUGGAGCUCCCCCGGCACCACGGCGCACUCCAUCCCGCAGGAUUCCGGGCUCCCCGACGCCGGCCACCGCUCCGUCCCAGUUGGCCACCCCCUCUGCUUGUUGUGCUCCGGUGCGUUUCGCCCCCAUCCUCGCCCAGUGCCGGCCGCCCUCGGCCUGACCAACUCUGCCCUCGUCACGAACUCUGCGCUCCAGCCUCCCCCCCCCCCCCCACCGCCGCCGCACACUCGGACCUUCGACUCCCUACGUAAGCCCCCAACACCAUACCCCCGAUCACUAAUGUCAGCAAGCCCCAUGAUGAUGUCAGCAACAAGAAAUUAGAAAAUAAAUAAUGAAUUGGUAUAAAUCAUUGAAAUUAUUGGAAAAUGGCAUAAAAACUUACUUACAUGAUGCCUAUAAAUAUGUAUUUCUUCUCCAGCUUGAACACUAGCUUGUACACUCGUAGCUCGUUUCCGUAGCAUUACCAGAUGUCUAGAUCAGAAGAGAAAGGCUAGCUAGGGACUGACUUUUUGCUAUGUUUCCGUUCUAGUAUCCUAGGUGCAAGAUUUUCACAAGGGAGAGCCGCGUCAAAGCAAUGUUUCAUCCUUUUGUUUCACCUUGCACAAAAAAGUAUAGCAAACCCUAAAUUUUGCAUUGACACAACCGACUCUUUACAUCAUCUACGAAUCCAUAUUAUUAUUUUUUUGGUUGAAUCUUUCGUGUACUUUUCGGUGUUCUUUUUUUUAAGGAAAAAAAAGUUCCUUUUGCAGCACGGGAGCACCUGACCGAUGUGCUUGCAGCUGCUCAAGUGUGUUGGCGUCACUCUCACGAGGUGUCUCGUCCCAACCACUCACUCAGGCAGCACCCUGCUGGAGUGGUGGAAGGUGUGAACAAGGACUUAACGAUGGGAUUUCCGGCUUGUGCGCUUCGGUAAUGGUGCGGGUCGCUCACUCCUUAUGGUCCCUCCCCAGCCGCAUCCCCGUCGCCGACCCGGAGACCGGCGGUGAGCUGGCCGACGGCGAUUCGUCGGCCGCCUCCGGCUCCACCACGACCUGCCCCAGUCCUCCACGCGCCGACCAGGAGCAGGACUCCGCCACCGGUGCUUUGGCGCUCCUCGGCAGCGCCGAUGGCGCCACCGAAAUCUUCGUCGUCACCAGGCCCGCUCGUCCGGCCGUCAUCCCAGGCCCAGAGGCGCUCCUCCGUCUCGCUUCUCCUUCCACGUCAUCGAUCGUCUCAUGGUCAUGGAUAUGGAACCUGCUGCCCUCAUCAUCAAUCCCUUCCGCGCCCCCCCCCCCCCCCCCCCCCCCCCCCCCCGCCUGAUCAUUCUACUCCGACGAGCGAGCGCCCCGCCGACGCCGGCGACGAGGUACUAUUUAUAGUAUAUUGUUGCCCUUCAGUACUGUAGCGGAGCUGCGGAGAUAUGAUCGACGACGGACGGGAUUAUUAUUUAUUAAUUUAUAUAUCUUCUUCUUACCUUCAGGGUCGGCGGAUCUUCACCGCCGUGCUCGCGCUCCUGACGAUCGUCGCGACCGCCAUGGGCGCGAUACUCCCUGACCUGAAGGACACCGUCGGCGGCUGGAGCGCCGCGCCCAGGGCGGCGUACGGCGUCGACGCGGUGGCGGCCGUCGCGCUGAUGGCGGUCGGCGUCAUGGCCGCCGUGGCGGGCGGGUACGGGAACCGCGCCAUGCUCUCGGUCUCGGCCCUGUGCGCGAGGCUGGGCGCGAUGCUCUCCGGAAUCCUGCUCUCCAGCGCCCUGCUCGUCGUCUCCGUCUCCUGCAAGCUGGGGCCGUGGGGGUGCGCGGCCGGCGUCCCGGCCGCCGCCGUGGUGGCGGGCGCCAUGGCCGCGGUCUGGAAGCUGGGGCGGCACGGCCGUGCCGUGGCGCAGGCCGUCUCCCGUUGCCGGCGCCAAGUCGAGCGCCUGCGCCGCCGGUGCCUGCGCCGCCGCGGCGUCCUGCCGGUGACGACGAGGAGGUCUUCUGAACUCCUGGAGGGAAGAUGAUGCCCUGUGCUGAACUGCGGGCUGAGGUGGUAAUAAUUUGGUCAUUUUAGGGUCUUCAGGACUACAAGGUAGAAAGAAAACACACUGUAAUUUCGUUGCUCCAGUUAUGAGAUUCCGGAUUAGCUAGUCGCCUUCGCCUACGCCUAGUUGUCAAGGGAAAAAAUGAUUUCGUUCACGCACUAACUUUUCUGAAUUAAACCAUACUAAUAUCAUCUUUGUAUGGAUGAACACAAUGCGUAACUAAUCGGCAACUGCUCGUAAUAUAUUGUUGCCAUGCCGUGCCGAUAUCACUAUCAACCGUGGAAAAGAAAAAACAGUGUGAAAUGAUGCAUGAAUGCACUAUUGAAACGAAGUUGCAUUGUUGAGGAUAUAUGAUUAUGUCCCCCUAUAGUAUGUUUUAGGGGAAAGCUAAAUCAUACCCGCGCAUUUCUUCCCUUUCCCACACCUGAAUUUUGGUAAACACGUCGUUUUCCUUCUCCUAUGCCUCCGCCACCAUCUUCUCUAGCUCCGGCGAGCCUUUAGGGUCUGGGGUUUGGGGAAGGAGGGUUACCUGUGUCUAGCGGACCUAGAGGAGCUCCAAGGUAGCACAGUAGCGGGCGGUGGCAGUGGUUCGAACCGACGGGGCGGCGAGGCGGCGUGGGCUCCCCCAGCCUCUGGCUGCCGGAGGAUAUCCGAUUGGCCUGUGGAGCCGGUGGGGACAAGCAUCGGAACAGGUUAGCAUGGGAGCGGUGGCGAGCGGCAGCGAAGGUGGCGGGGCGCCGCCGGAGUCGAUCAGGGGGUGGAGGCGGUGGGGGCGAGCUCCGACCGGCUGUGAGAAAGAAAGAAGUGAAAAAAAAAGAGGAGGAAGAGGCAGGUCGAGCUCGCCGGAGCCGAGAACGGCAGCAAACAUCACCGGUGAUAGGGAUGGCGAGGGCGAGUCGGAGGGUGGGGGCGGUGGUUGGCUUCGAGUUGGGGACGCGCGGCGGCACGGGGCAUCGUGUCCGAUGGGCUUGCGCGAGGAGACGAGCGGACGUGAUGUUGGGUGGGGAGAAGAUAAGGUAAGGAGAGGGGUUGAUCGCAGACAUCGAUAAAUGAUCCGAAGGUCCAAAAAACCUGAGUGUGGGGAGGAGGGAAAAUACUCGGGUGUGAGGUAGACAUCCCCAUGUUUUAAUUUAGUGAGAGAUGUAGCACAGGAAGGAUACUACUCCCUCCGUCCCCAAUUAGUAUUCAUUUUAGCUUUUCUAAUGUUUGCUACAUAUCUAGACAUACAUAUAUCUAGGUCCAUAGCAAAAGCUAUUGUCAAAUUUAGUGACCAGCGGUCCACCAGGAGGUUACUCAAGUGGUAGUUUGUAGGUGGGGAGAUUGUAAGACCAAGAAGUUGAAUGGUAACAUAGGAGCGCAAGGUUUAGAUAGGUUUGGACCUCUGGAGAGUAAUACCCUACGUAUUGCUGAUAUGGUGCGGAGAGUUAACGUGCGGUAGGAUGAGUUGAGGUGUGUUACCCUCGGGGGGUGCCCCUGGCCACCUUAUAUAGGGUGACAACCUAGGGUUACAAUCCAAUAGGAUCUAAUCCUAGUCAGUUGUAACAUGGAAAGCAAUUUGAGUCAAGGAAAGCAAUCUGAGUCAGUUUAUAACAAGUAUCCUGUGAUAUCUGGAAAGAAUCCGUUCGCCCAUCCUCCGUACUUGUGCUCCAUGUAUCUUCAUGCCUUGGCCCGCACGGCGUGGUCGGACGAACCCACCUAUCAGGGCCAACUAGUACCCUGGUCGGUGGGGACCCAUGGGUACCCUUAUUCCUCAGCAAUGUAUCAAGAAAACCAAAAUGAAUAGUAAUUGGGGACGGAGGGAGUACAAAUAGCUACCGAGGUUGGCUUCAUAUGAUCGAUUUUUCGAAACGAACCAGGCAGGAGAGCUGCCGAUUAUAUUAAAAAGAAGAAAGAUCCCAAAGGAGAUACCAAAGUAGCUCCCAACAGAUAACACGGACUCAACUCAACUCAAAAACAAAAAAGAACUCAAUGACCAGUCGGAUUGAGACAUCGACGCAAGCCAUGCACCGCUAACGCCUGAGUAGCGACCACCACGCCACACCACCACCACCCAGUAGGAAAAGCCGAUAAGUAGCCCUUAUCACCAGCGCCGUCGUCCCCGAUGAUGUCCCACACCAAACCAGCCACUGCCAUGCAGGACUGGCCGUCGCAGUCCGUUGCAAGCCUAGUAGCUACCAAGGCUUCUCCACCAUACCUCCGUCAUCCUCAGGUCACACACGCACGGUCGUUGAUCUCUGUGGAUUUGUAUCAGCAGAAGUAAAAGGAGGAGCACACUGCACCAUACCUAAAAGACCACCGCUCUGCAGGAUCCAAUGCUGAAGCACCACUGCUGCACUGUACACACCAAACAACCAAAACACCGCACCGGAUUCUAACCCUCCAAGUCAACUUGAAACGCAUGGGGGGCUCGCCACAUCCACCGCUGCACACCACUCCUCGAACACAUCACCUUAAAGUGAACGGGGGCCUCGCCACUUCCGCCGCUGGACUCUACACCAAGGAUCCAGACUUGCUUUGCCGUCAGGGUGACAUGGUGCCACCAAGCUACUCCAAUAACUUCACCUCCACCUUGCCGCCAUCAGAAUCUCAGCUGUACCAUGAGCGCAGACUCAAAGCUCCACCGGCAUAGAUCCUCGCACCACCGCAACGGCACCAUGCGAGCGGCCGUUGCGGCACCAGCAUGGCUUCGUGGCCUCCAAGCCGCCGCUCCUCCUCGCCUGCGCGGCCAUCUCCGUGCCGCCAUCCUCUUCACCGGUGCCCUCUCCACGCCGCUCUUCUCCACGGGCCGCCGCCGGUCGCUGCACCUCCUCCGCGUCUUGUCCUCCGACACCUCGAACCAGCCACCCUCUAUUCACGCGGGCCCACUCCAUCCCCCGCGCAGCGCUACCUCACCUCUGCGAGCUGCAAUCAGGCACCGUACGCCCGCCGCUGGUCUAGCGCUCCGCCACCGCCGCACACAAACCGCGCGGCACCACCGCUUGGGGGGGGAGCACCACCAUACCCGGUGCAAGCCCCCCUCCCUCCCGCUAUCACCGCAGAGGGCCCGCUGAUGACGACCUUGUCACAUGAGCUACAUGACACUCGCCCUCCGCGCGGACGGCGCCGCCGUGACCGCACUAGCACGGCACCAAGAGUGUCGUGGCCCCGUUGUGGCGCCGGACGUGAAGGCAGGGCGGCCGCAAGCCCACCGCCGCGCCAUCGCGCUGGCAGGGGUCGCGACGCUCGCCAGCAGCCACCCUGCGCGGAUCCGUCACCGGGGGUGCCGGAUCCGCGGGUCUGGGACGGCACCGCCAUCUCCAUGACCCCGCGCCGCCACACCAAAGAUCCAUGUGGGCCCCUCAGCUGGUGAGAGAGGCCCUACCGCUGCCUUCCUAGGCACUCGGGCUUCCGGUGCACUGCUCCGGCAGCGGCGAGGUAGGGAGGAGGCAAUGAGUGGGGGUGGCGGCGGAGCAGGGGCGCCACCCAAGCCGCCUCCAGGGAGACGAUGCGGGGGCUCUAUCUGACCAUAGUUCUAAAUAGAUGCCUUCCGUCUGACCAUAGUUCUAAAUAGAUGCCUUUCGAAAUGAACCAGGCAGAAGAAAAAUGAUGGCUCUGCAGGAUGUAGAUGACAAUUUUUGACACCACAUUGUUUGCAAAGAGAAGAGAACGUAAAUGGGGGGGGGGGGGGGGGGGGGGGGGGGGGUAGUGCAGUCUUCUAAUAAGGAAAAGAACAAGAAGAACAAUUUCAGCCAUUCCAGUGCUUAGCUGAGCCUAACUGAAGAUAGAUGAGUGAAGCCACAACACAGCGAUGGAAAGGAGGCACGAAGCUGACGCACACGCACGCAGUGACGCAAUUUCCCAAGAGCACAAGACACGGCGCCGGCGAUGUGAUCUACAAUUGUAUUGUGCAAACCUGAUCCUCUUCCCUGCUCGGUUUCGAUCAGCCAAAAGCUUUGAAUUCUAUGUACAAGAACUCAAGAAGUUUUCAACGGGCGUCAUCCGCUUGUCAUCUCUUCCUCUAGGCAGUUAGGCACUAGGCUAUCCACAGGCCAACGAUUCCAAGCAAAUUUCUUCCUAUUUUCGUCUGAACACCUGAAAAAAAAAACUGUGUUGUUGAAGGUCCUUGAUUUUUUUUUCACAAUACUAACAUGUCACAUCGCCCGUUCCCCUGCUCGCAAUCGUGUCGAGGAGAGUGAGUGGGCUGGCCCACGAACCCACAUGAGCUGUAUCUUUUAGCCUUUUGCGCG
This 42578-nucleotide long non-coding RNA is filed under the name Setaria viridis. RNAcentral describes it as "long non-coding RNA (SVIR_LNC001289)". Lineage: Eukaryota; Viridiplantae; Streptophyta; Magnoliopsida; Poales; Poaceae. The record is from RNAcentral.